This 253-nucleotide ribosomal RNA is filed under the name uncultured bacterium. Its description in RNAcentral is "partial 16S ribosomal RNA". It matches the Rfam family "Bacterial small subunit ribosomal RNA", at positions 524 to 776 of the family's 1533-position model. The record is from RNAcentral.
UACGUAGGGUGUAAGCGUUGUCCGGAAUUACUGGGCGUAAAGAGUUCGUAGGCGGUUUGUCGCGUCGUUCGUGAAAACUUGGGGCUUAACUCCAAGCGUGCGGGCGAUACGGGCAGACUUGAGUACUACAGGGGAGACUGGAAUUCCUGGUGUAGCGGUGAAAUGCGCAGAUAUCAGGAGGAACACCGGUGGCGAAGGCGGGUCUCUGGGUAGUAACUGACGCUGAGGAACGAAAGCGUGGGUAGCGAACAGG